This 253-nucleotide ribosomal RNA is filed under the name uncultured bacterium. RNAcentral's name for it is "partial 16S ribosomal RNA". It matches the Rfam family "Bacterial small subunit ribosomal RNA", at positions 524 to 776 of the family's 1533-position model. The record is from RNAcentral.
UACGUAUGGUGCAAGCGUUAUCCGGAUUUACUGGGCGUAAGGGGAGCGCAGGCGGCGCGCCAAGUCUGAUGUGAAACCCCGGGGCUCAACCCCGGGCAUGCAUUGGAAACUGGCGGGCUGGAGUGCCGGAGAGGUAAGCGGAAUUCCUAGUGUAGCGGUGAAAUGCGUAGAUAUUAGGAGGAACACCAGUGGCGAAGGCGGCUUACUGGACGGCAACUGACGCUGAGGCUCGAAAGCGUGGGGGGCAAACAGG